Panonychus citri (citrus red mite) is the source of this 1080-nucleotide long non-coding RNA. RefSeq lists it as uncharacterized. The record is from RefSeq and is a predicted model, not a curated record. The transcript is spliced from 2 exons. NCBI's taxonomy places the organism in Eukaryota, Metazoa, Arthropoda, Arachnida, Trombidiformes, Tetranychidae.
UAUCGAUGUUAUCGAUUCUCCAAAAGCGAUAUUCGAGAUCGAUAUAUUUAAAUCUCGGAAAUUUAAUCAAUUAAAUGAUAAAAAGCGAAAUUAAAUUAACAACAUUCUAGAGAUAAAACAAUUCGCUUUCUGAGAACCAAAUGGCAUUAAAAAGUAGAUUAUCCACAAUCAGUUUAAUAUUUGACCUUCUCUUGAGUUGAAAUUUCUUGCGAUCCGAUAAGCGGAGUAUUAACCGGAUCAUUCGGGUUUCGCUUGAGCUCAAGUUACAAUGUGAAGAAAGUAAAUUACUGAAUCAAAUGAUUUGAUUCAAAUCAGUUGGUUUUUAAGUUAAUCAGUGUUGUGUCUCUUUUUUGUGGCAUUUUCUUGUGAUUUUUUGGAAAACAAGAAUUAACAACUCACAACCUAACCGAUGCAAGGUGAAUUCUGAAGAAUUCAUCAAAGGCUGAUGUACAUGUCAACCUUUGUUUCAUCAUCUUUUUACCCGCCGGUUCAUGUCAAUUACGGUCGGUUUACAAAAUUCUUAAUUGGCAUUAUGAUUAACUUGACCAACUCCUUUAAUCAGGGUAUUCCAAUGAAUUCUCAUUUUUCCUUUGAGACUUCACCUCCUCCUGAUUGCUGAAAUCAAAAGGCUUCAGCUUGAUUUCCACAAUUUAAUUUCAUAAAUUGUCUGGUUCUCUUGCGUCAGCCAACAAAACCCCUUUAGAUUGUUAAUCAAAUAUUGAACUAAGUCAAUUAAUCUCAUAUUUGAUCAAUGGCAAAAAUGUCACUCACAUUUCAAUUCAACUUCAACAGAAAUCGUUUCAAUUAUUCAACAUAAAAAUGAGCUUUUUCAAAGAAUCUAUUGGACAUCUCUAUCGAGUUCUCAGUUUCAGAGUUGUGGUUCUCUUAACAUUGAACAUUUUCUCGGCUUUAUGUGGACUAAGAUGUUGAUUUUUUCAUUAAUCAAGUGAAGAGAAUGAAAAAUAUCUGAUAUUCAAUAAGAACUGUGAAUGGAUCAAUUUGUUGAGAUACUUCUUUCAACUAGACAAAAUUUGCAAGUUUGAAAAGAUAAAUGAAUAGUAAACUAUGUUGGUUAAACGA